UACGUAGGUGGCAAGCGUUGUCCGGAUUUAUUGGGUUUAAAGGGUGCGUAGGCGGCCCUGUAAGUCAGUGCUGAAAUACCCCGGCUUAACCGGGGGGGUGGCAUUGAUACUGCAGGGCUUGAGUACAGAUGAGGUAGGCGGAAUUGACGGUGUAGCGGUGAAAUGCAUAGAUAUCGUCAAGAACACCGAUAGCGAAGGCAGCUUACUGGGCUGUAACUGACGCUGAUGCACGAAAGUGUGGGGAGUCAAACAGG
RNAcentral lists this ribosomal RNA (254 nucleotides) under uncultured bacterium. Its description in RNAcentral is "partial 16S ribosomal RNA". It matches the Rfam family "Bacterial small subunit ribosomal RNA", at positions 524 to 776 of the family's 1533-position model. The record is from RNAcentral.